AGGCUAAGCUGUUCGUUCAGUCGCAGUAACCCUAGCAGUGGUAUCUGGUACAAAUGGUAUAAAGGUCAAUCAAGGCUAUCAAAUCAAGGAGACCUGCUGAUCUUCCCUGCAAACUUAGAAAAGGCUGGUAAUUACACCUGUGAAGUCUGCAAUACCGUAAAAUGUGUUCCAGCUCAACCAGUCACUGUGGAUAUACACUCUCACUCCCAGGAUGCAUCAGCCCCUUCUACCUCUGGACCCAAACCCACAGCAGAGAGUGAAGGACCUCAGUCUUCUCCACCGCCUCCCUCCACUCCUGAAGGUGUAUCCUCCCCCUUGCCUUCAACAUCCUGUCCCCCUUGCCUGUCUGAACUGCCCCCAUCAGGGGUCCCCGUCCCUCCUCUCCCAUCUUCUCAGACACCUUGUGAUGGCAGAACCGUGGGGGAGGAAUUCAGUUUCCUCAGUGAAUCGCUGGACCAGGUUUUAA
Molecule: long non-coding RNA, 466 nt
Organism: Gekko japonicus
Lineage: Eukaryota; Metazoa; Chordata; Lepidosauria; Squamata; Gekkonidae
Exons: 3
Source: RefSeq, a predicted model, not a curated record